Molecule: ribosomal RNA, 406 nt
Filed under: uncultured bacterium
Lineage: Bacteria
Description: partial 16S ribosomal RNA
Rfam family: Bacterial small subunit ribosomal RNA
Source: RNAcentral
AUUGAACGCUGGCGGCAGGCCUAACACAUGCAAGUCGAGCGAGCGGCGGACGGGUGAGUAAUGUCUGGGAAACUGCCUGAUGGAGGGGGAUAACUACUGGAAACGGUAGCUAAUACCGCAUACCAUCAGAUGUGCCCAGAUGGGAGUAGCUAGUAGGUGGGGUAAAGGCCUACCAAGGCGACGAUCUGUAGCGGGUCUGAGAGGAUGAUCCGCAACACUGGGACUGAGGCACGGCCCAGAAUCCGACGGGAGGCAGCAGGGGGGAAUAUUGGACAAUGGGGGGAACCCUGAUCCAUCCAUGCCGCGUGUGUGAAGAAGGCCUUAUGGUUGUAAAGCACUGUAAGCGAGGAGGCGUUACUCGCAGAAUAAGCACCGGCUAACUCUGUGCCAGCAGCCGCGGUAAUAC